This 75-nucleotide ribozyme is filed under the name Crocodylus porosus (Australian saltwater crocodile). Its description in RNAcentral is "Mammalian CPEB3 ribozyme (ENSCPRG00005001381.1)". It matches the Rfam family "Mammalian CPEB3 ribozyme". From Rfam's summary of the family: The mammalian CPEB3 ribozyme is a self cleaving RNA located in the second intron of the CPEB3 gene which belongs to a family of genes regulating messenger RNA polyadenylation. This ribozyme is highly conserved and found only in mammals. The record is from Rfam by way of RNAcentral. Lineage: Eukaryota; Metazoa; Chordata; Crocodylia; Crocodylidae.
UUGCAAGUUCAAGGCCACAGCAGAAGCAUUCACUGCGCGGCCUGUCAGAUUCUGGCGAUAUCUGCAAAUUCUGCU